This 329-nucleotide ribosomal RNA is filed under the name uncultured eukaryote. RNAcentral's name for it is "partial 18S ribosomal RNA". It matches the Rfam family "Eukaryotic small subunit ribosomal RNA", at positions 1470 to 1796 of the family's 1831-position model. The record is from RNAcentral.
CCCUUAGAUGUUCUGGGCCGCACGCGCGCUACACUGACGAUGGCAACGAGUUUUUCCUUCGCCGAAAGGUGUGGGUAAUCUUUUGAAACAUCGUCGUGCUGGGGAUAGAUCAUUGCAAUUUUUGAUCUUGAACGAGGAAUUCCUAGUAAGCGCGAGUCAUCAGCUCGCGUCGAUUACGUCCCUGCCCUUUGUACACACCGCCCGUCGCUACUACCGAUUGAAUGGUUUAGUGAGGACUCCUGAUUGGCGCCGCCGCCCCGGCAACGGAGCAGCGGACUGCCGAAAAGUUGUUCAAACUUGAUCAUUUAGAGGAAGUAAAAGUCGUAACA